UAAUACGUAGGGUGCGAGCGUUAAUCGGAAUUACUGGGCGUAAAGCGUGCGCAGGCGGUUUGUCAAGUCCGCUGUGAAAGCCCCGGGCUCAACCUGGGAAUGGCAGUGGAAACUAGCGAGCUAGAGUGUGUCAGAGGGGGGUGGAAUUCCACGUGUAGCAGUGAAAUGCGUAGAGAUGUGGAGGAACACCAAUGGCGAAGGCAGCCCCCUGGGAUAACACUGACGCUCAGGCACGAAAGCGUGGGGAGCAAACAGGAUUAGAUACCCUGGUAGUCCACGCCCUAAACGAUGGCAACUAGGUGUUGGGGGAGCAAUCUCUUGGUACCGCAGCUAACGCGUGAAGUUGCCCGCCUGGGGAGUACGGUCGCAAGAUUA
This 375-nucleotide ribosomal RNA is filed under the name uncultured bacterium. RNAcentral describes it as "bacterial SSU rRNA". It matches the Rfam family "Bacterial small subunit ribosomal RNA", at positions 521 to 896 of the family's 1533-position model. The record is from RNAcentral.